CUACGUGCCAGCAGCCGCGGUAAUACGGAAGGUCCGGGCGUUAUCCGGAUUUAUUGGGUUUAAAGGGAGCGUAGGCCGGAGAUUAAGUGUGUUGUGAAAUGUAGACGCUCAACGUCUGACUUGCAGCGCAUACUGGUUUCCUUGAGUACGCACAACGUUGGCGGAAUUCGUCGUGUAGCGGUGAAAUGCUUAGAUAUGACGAAGAACUCCGAUUGCGAAGGCAGCCGGCGGGAGCGCAACUGACGCUGAAGCUCGAAGGUGCGGGUAUCGAACAGGAUUAGAUACCCUGGUAGUCCGCACGGUAAACGAUGGAUGCCCGCUGUCGGCGCCUUGCGCCGGCGGCCAAGCGAAAGCGUUAAGCAUCCCACCUGGGGAGUACGCCGGCAACGGUGAAACUCAAAGGAAUUGACGGGGGCCCGCACAAGCGGAGGAACAUGUGGUUUAAUUCGAUGAUACGCGAGGAACCUUACCCGGGCUUGAA
Molecule: ribosomal RNA, 481 nt
Filed under: uncultured bacterium
Lineage: Bacteria
Description: bacterial SSU rRNA
Rfam family: Bacterial small subunit ribosomal RNA
Source: RNAcentral